This is a long non-coding RNA of Gadus macrocephalus (Pacific cod), 3404 nucleotides long. RefSeq lists it as uncharacterized. The transcript has 2 exons. The record is from RefSeq and is a predicted model, not a curated record. Lineage: Eukaryota; Metazoa; Chordata; Actinopteri; Gadiformes; Gadidae.
CUGUUAAACAUAGUCCACUAGUUCUCAUUAUGAGCGCUGUUACCACAGGAUAUCAUUAAACACGUUCUAUUGAACAUAGGCCUGUGAUUGUCAUUAUUAACACUGUUAACACAGGUUUUUUUUAAAAGUCGUAGGCAGUCUCCAUCUCACUUUUUGGUCUUGGUCGAUGGUGUUUUAACAUUUUUUUAUACUUGGGAGGUUUUCAAUAUAACCACUAGAUGGCGGUAUUAGUCUGUGUACUGGACCUUGGAAAUCAGAGCUGGAGACGGAUAGACACUGCGCGAGGGAUGUUUGCACUCACACACAAACACAGACACACUUGGGAUCAUAGCUAACCAAGUAUUUACAUGUAUUUAUAUUGAAUCAUUGUUAAAUACUUGAUUCUGAUUGGUCAAUACCGUCCCAAGGUUGUGCAUUAUUUUGCAUUCUUCAAUAACGGGACACCUGUGCCUUUUAACAAUUCCAAAUAAAGUUGGUACGGAUUGAACAAUGAAAAUAAUGGUCAAACACAAUGGACCAGAUCUUCUUGACUAUGCAAAAACAAUAUUCUCACAGCACCGCAGAACAAUAUCUUAACUUCAGCUGAUUAAGUCGAUGAAAAGCCAAUAACUUUAUGGUUGAAAGUAAGCAUUAUGUAAUUAUGGCAAAAAUGUUAUUGGAAAUUGGUAUUCGAAAAAAUGCGAAAGAUAAAUGGUUGAUGUUUUACUCCUUACGUUAAUACACUUUCUAAUUGUAAACACACCUACUGGUUAGAAGUGUUUGUAUAGAAUAUACGCUAAAGCAACCUUGCCGGCUUUAGUACAAAUACAAGUAAGUGGACACACACACACACACAAGCAGACACAUACACACGGACACACACACGCAGACCAUUGGUUAAGGCUGGGCGCCUAGGCCCAAGUGUCUGGCUGAAGACAGUGAUUAAUGUUGGCGCUGAAUCCUCCCACUCCCUCCCGCUCAUCUCUCUCUAACUUUUUCAUGGCCCCCGUCACCUCCCCCUCCGUUUCUGUAAAAACACCACCAUAUGUUCUCCGGCUCUCGGAUCAUUGGCUUCUCACCACCGUGUGCUCCUAGCAUUUCCCCAUUUUACUUCUUCAACACUACCUCUUUUUUUUUCUCGCCCACCCCAUAUUUUCUCACGCCUCUCUCCUCUCCCCCCCUCCUCUCCUCUCCCCCCAGUCCCUCACAGACAUUCAUCUAUCCCUAUCGCCUGCUCUGCUGUCAUGAUAUCACUUUCUUCACCUCACCUCUUGUUCCUUCCCUUCUUUUUCCUCCUCCCCCACUCUCUCCCACUCUCCGUUGCUCUGGGUCUCUGCCUCAUCUGUCCUACUGUCUUUCUUUCCACCCCUUAGAUCCAUCCGCUCUAUCACUUCCCCACGCUCUGCUAAUAUUACAUGUAACACUUCUCUCACUCUCUCUCACUCUCUCUAUGUCUCUGUCUGUCUGUCUGUCUGUCUGUCUGUCUGUCUGUCUGUCUGUCUGUCUGUCUGUCUGUCUGUCUGUCUGUCUGUCUGUCUGUCUGUCUGUCUGUCUGUCUGUCUGUCUGUCUGUCUGUCUGUCUGUCUGUCUGUCUGUCUGUCUGUCUGUCUGUCUGUCUGUCUCUCUCUCUCCCUAUCUCACUCUCUGUCUGACUCUCUGUGUGUGUGUGUGUGUGUGUGUGUGUGUGUGUGUGUGUGUGUGUGUGUGUGUGUGUGUUUGAGUCUCUCUCUCUCUCUCUCUCUCUCUCUCUCCCUCUCUCUCUCUCUCUCCCUCUCUCUCUCUCUCUCUCUCUCUCUCCCUCUCUCUCUCUCUCUCUCUCUCUCUCUCUCUUUAUCCGAUUGUGUUCUCCACCUCAGUCCACAUACCGCAAACAACGUUUUCCAUUUCCAUUUGUCCUUUUCUCAGCCUUUAAUAUUUUUAUUAUUUUCUCUUUUCUCUCCCCAUUUCUCUCCUCCCCCUUGCCCCUGUCUUGAGUUGUUUGCCAUUAGUUUGUAGUCAGACAGAGCAGGAGUGGCAGGGGGGUGGGGGAAUGGGUGUUAAACAUGAACUAAAAGGGAUUUAAUGGCCACUCACUGAAGCAGGUUCUGUGCAAUUAUCAGACGCAGGAGAGACAAGCGAUGCCCUUCUGUUGUCCUCCUCUCUCCGCUGCCACCUCAUUCCUCCCGCUCUCGCUCUCUCCUUUCACGUCACCUUACACUCUCUCUCCUCUUGCACUCUCUCUCACCUCGGUCGGGGCCCCCCGUCGGCUUCACCGCUGCUCGUCUGUUUAGAGCUAUCUGUCUGCCUGCCUGCCUGUUUGUUUGCCUGUAGGCCUGCCUGUUUCUUUGCCGUUCCGUCUAACAGUUUGUUCUCCUGUAGGUCUGCCUGAUAGUGUGGCUGCCUGUUUGACUUGGUUUGCUUGUGGGUUUCCUGUUGUUUGUGGGUCUUUUGUCAGACCUCAAUGACUGCUGGGCUGUCUCUGUUUUUCUCACGUUUCAUCCCUCUCUCAGUCCCACCCCCCCUCUGUUUCUCUGUAAGUAUUGUGUUUGUUUUCAUCCCAUCCGUUGUCCGCUGCUCUUCUCUGCUAGUUCAUCUGAGAUGUUGUUCCAUGUGUGUGUUCUUGCCGUCUUUUAGGAUGUGUUAUUGUUGUUGUUGUUCUCUUUAAUAGGAUCAGAGGUUGUGUGUAUUUUGGUCUGGAUUUCGUUUUUGUAAUCGAGUGUUAUUCAUACCUGAACCCCUCUGCAAUACAAAGUAAAUGGAAUGCAUUUGUACAGCGCUUUUUUUAAACCAGUGGCCACUCAAAGCGCUUUACAAUAUGGCCUAACAUUCACCCAUUCACACACGCACAUUCACACACCGACGGCGGUGUCAACCAUGCAAGCUCGUCGAGAGCAGUUAUGCUGAGGCUUCUUGCUCAGGGACACCUCAACACUCUAGGGGGAGCCGGGGAUCGAACUAGCAACCUUCCGCUUACCAGGAAACCCGCUCUACCUCCUGAGCCAAAUCCCGCCCCAAAGCUCUAAUGAACUCAACCUAUACUGAUUUACUCUCAAACUCAUUUCUCUGUGUUUCCCAUCGUCUCCUUUUUAGUCUUCCGGCUCCAAUACCGGUACUACUACCAUGUUCACUGUCUGACAGCCACUAGUGCUAAAUCCUUUAAUGAUCAUUGGAGGUGUCAAUGCAGCUCUCUGUCGCUGACAAACUGUGUUAAUAUUCCCUCUCAUUCUCCUAUUCGCGUUCCUGCUGCCCCUCUUGUCCUCUUUUUGUCUUAUCUUCUACCCCCACAUGCACACACACUCACACACUCACACACUCACACACUCACACAUGCACACAUGCACACACACACACACACACACACACACACACACACACACACACACACACACACACACACACACACACACACACACACACACACACACACACACACACACACACACACA